UUGCGCAAUUGAAACGUCGAAACCUUUUUUUUAAACCCAUUUGAUUGAAAACUGAAGUAUACUGUGGGGACGAAAGUCCUCGCUUUGAAACUAGAUAACAACUUUCAGCAGUGGAUGUCUAGGCUCGCACAUCGAUGAAGAACGCUGCGAACUGCGAUACGUAAUGCGAAUUGCAGGAUUCAGUGAGUCAUCGAACUUUUGAACGCAUAUUGCACUUUCGGGUUACGCCUGGAAGUAUGUCUGUAUCAGUGUCCGUACACUAAACUUGCGUCUCUUCCGUCGUGUAGUCGUCGGUUGUUUUGAUUGCAGAUGUGAGGUUGUCUCGCAGUCGACCACUUCUUUUGGAUGGAUAGGUUGCGAGUCCCUUUAAAAGUCGGACGCGUGUUUUUUCCGUUUUGUGCUUGAUGGGGGUGCGGCUGCGGCCGUGUCUGCUGGCGGGUCCGGUGACCUUUGGCGAUGGCAUGAGAGUGGAUUGCUCGAUUUGCGGUAUGUUAGGCUUCGGCUUUGACAAUGCAGCUUAUUGGGUGUGUUCGCUUGGCUGUUGCUGUAUGGGGUGAGCUGGAUGGUCGGUGGAUGCGUUUGUUGCGUGUCGUUUUUUCAUGGAGUGCGUUGCGG
RNAcentral lists this unclassified non-coding RNA (615 nucleotides) under Phytopythium cucurbitacearum (nom. inval.). RNAcentral's name for it is "Pythium cucurbitacearum partial contains ITS1, 5.8S rRNA and ITS2". The stretch from base 100 to 254 matches the Rfam family "5.8S ribosomal RNA". The record is from RNAcentral. Lineage: Eukaryota; Oomycota; Peronosporomycetes; Pythiales; Pythiaceae.